CGUAGGGUGCAAGCGUUAAUCGGAAUUACUGGGCGUAAAGCGUGCGCAGGCGGUUAUGUAAGACAGAUGUGAAAUCCCCGGGCUCAACCUGGGAACUGCAUUUGUGACUGCAUAGCUAGAGUACGGUAGAGGGGGAUGGAAUUCCGCGUGUAGCAGUGAAAUGCGUAGAUAUGCGGAGGAACACCGAUGGCGAAGGCAAUCCCCUGGACCUGUACUGACGCUCAUGCACGAAAGCGUGGGGAGCAAACAGGAUUAGAUACCCUGGCAGUCCACGCCCUAAACGAUGUCAACUGGUUGUUGGGUCUUCACUGACUCAGUAACGAAGCUAACGCGUGAAGUUGACCGCCUGGGGAGUACGGCCGCAAGGUUG
Molecule: ribosomal RNA, 370 nt
Filed under: uncultured organism
Description: bacterial SSU rRNA
Rfam family: Bacterial small subunit ribosomal RNA
Source: RNAcentral